UGAGGAAUAUUGGGCAAUGCCCGCAAGGGUGGCCCAGCAACGCCGCGUGGAGGAUGAAUGUCGUAAGAUUGUAAACUCCUGUUAGAGGGGAAGAAUAGUACCGGUUGGACCGGUAUAUGACUGUACCCUCAGAGAAAGCCCCGGCUAACUACGUGCCAGCAGCCGCGGUAAUACGUAGGGGGCAAGCGUUGUCCGGAUUUACUGGGUGUAAAGGGCGCGCAGGCGGGAUAAAAAGUCAGUGGUGAAAUCCUACAGCUUAACUGUAGAACUGCCUUUGAUACUUUUAUUCUUGAGUUCGGGAGAGAGAGACGGAAUUCCAGGUGUAGUGGUGAAAUACGUAGAUAUCUGGAAGAACACCAGUUGCGAAGGCGGUCUCUUGGUCCGACACUGACGCUGAGGCGCGAAAGCGUGGGGAGCAAACA
RNAcentral lists this ribosomal RNA (422 nucleotides) under uncultured bacterium. Its description in RNAcentral is "bacterial SSU rRNA". It matches the Rfam family "Bacterial small subunit ribosomal RNA", at positions 355 to 774 of the family's 1533-position model. The record is from RNAcentral.